This 753-nucleotide long non-coding RNA is filed under the name Homo sapiens (human). Its description in RNAcentral is "non-protein coding lnc-TYMP-1:2". Lineage: Eukaryota; Metazoa; Chordata; Mammalia; Primates; Hominidae. The record is from RNAcentral.
AACCCCGAACCCCACGGGGCUUUGAUAAAUCGUGGCUCAGACUCCCCACUAGUCCCAGGACCCCAUCUCGGGUACCCACCAGGCUCCCACGCAGUUCUAGCCCCCCACACCCUUGAUCCGCCCCGCAGGCAGGUACUUCCCGGAGCGAGCGGGGAACGCGACGUACCCCAGUGCGCCUCGGCACACCAUUGCUCCCCGAAACUGGGGUGUCCAGGCGGAACAGCAGAGCCCAGGUCCCGCGGCCUAUACGGUGCCCUCGCUCUUGGGUCCGCGCGUCAUCGGCAAAGUCUCCGCCCCAACUUGCUCCAUCUACGGCCGCAGAGCGGCUGGCAGUUUCUUCGAGGACCUCAGCAAGGUGGGGGAGGGGCCGGGGCGGACGCAGGGGGUCCCUGGUCCGCGGCAGUGGAGGCGGCAGCCAGCACCCUCUGCCCUCUCGCAGACCCCGGGCCCCUGCGCCUAUCAGGUCGUGAGUCCAGGGGUCUACAAGUCCCGGGCCCCCCAGUUCACGAUUCUGGCGCGGACUUCGCUCCCCCAAGACAACACUCGGAAGCCAGGGCCCGCGGCCUACAACGUGGAUCAGGUGGCCUGGAGCCCAGGGUCAAGGGUCAGAGUCAGGAGAGUGGGGAGGGCCUGAGGUCGGAGUGAUGGGAUCAGAGUCCCCGGGGGUCCAGGGGUCCCGGCGCGGAGAGGAUGCCGGCCCCGCGAGGUCAGCGGUGUCUCCGGGCCCGCAGCACCGGAAGCCCCGCGGCUGGA